Molecule: ribosomal RNA, 247 nt
Filed under: uncultured Bdellovibrio sp.
Lineage: Bacteria; Pseudomonadati; Bdellovibrionota; Bdellovibrionia; Bdellovibrionales; Pseudobdellovibrionaceae
Description: partial 16S ribosomal RNA
Rfam family: Bacterial small subunit ribosomal RNA
Source: RNAcentral
GUUUUUCGCUCUAAGAUGAGUCCGCGUAAGAUUAGCUAGUUGGUGAGGUAAUGGCUCACCAAGGCGACGAUCUUUAACUGGUCUGAGAGGAUGAUCAGUCACACUGGAACUGAGACACGGUCCAGACUCCUACGGGAGGCAGCAGUAGGGAAUAUUGCACAAUGGAGGAAACUCUGAUGCAGCGACGCCGCGUGAGUGAUGAAGGCCUUCGGGUCGUAAAGCUCUGUCGUAUGGGACUAACACAAUG